Molecule: long non-coding RNA, 418 nt
Organism: Onychostoma macrolepis
Lineage: Eukaryota; Metazoa; Chordata; Actinopteri; Cypriniformes; Cyprinidae
Exons: 3
Source: RefSeq, a predicted model, not a curated record
UGUCUGGACUAUCUUCAGUGCCAUUCACCCACCGUAAGCCAUAAAAAAAUCAAGGGAGGCAUAAAUAAAGACGGAGUAGUGGACCAGUCAGUUACCAAACUCACUCAGACUGCCGCCAUGCUAUAUUUGUAAAAUGGAUUUCAUCAGCUGACAGCCUUCCAAGAAAACAAAUAGAAUCAAAUCUGCUGCGGAUCCCAGACUGAUUUUAUGGAACCAUUCAAGCUCGGAAGAGAGGAUUGCUUGGCCUGAUAACAGCACUCACUCAGUUGAUUGAUGCCCGAGCUCCAUUCCUGAGAUUGAUGGCGAUACGCCAGGACCGGUCCUGUGUGUUCACAGUUAACCUCGCUCCUCUUCCUCAAUUGCUUCCUCCCUCUUUUCAUAGGCUUUGCUAAUAAUGGAUUAUUAUAUGUAAAUAUGC